UACGGAGGGUGCGAGCGUUGUCCGGAAUCACUGGGCGUAAAGGGCGCGUAGGCGGCUCGUUAAGUCAGGGGUGAAAGCCCAGGGCUCAACUCUGGGUCGGCCACUGAUACUCGCGAGCUCGAGUUUGGUAGAGGCAGAUGGAAUUCCGGGUGUAGCGGUGGAAUGCGUAGAGAUCCGGAAGAACACCGGUGGCGAAGGCGGUCUGCUGGGCCAAGACUGACGCUGAGGCGCGACAGCGUGGGGAGCAAACAGG
Molecule: ribosomal RNA, 253 nt
Filed under: uncultured bacterium
Lineage: Bacteria
Description: partial 16S ribosomal RNA
Rfam family: Bacterial small subunit ribosomal RNA
Source: RNAcentral